Molecule: ribosomal RNA, 402 nt
Filed under: bacterium
Lineage: Bacteria
Description: partial 16S ribosomal RNA
Rfam family: Bacterial small subunit ribosomal RNA
Source: RNAcentral
UGGGGAAUUUUGCACAAUGGGGGAAACCCUGAUGCAGCGACGCCGCGUGAUUUAGAAGGCCUUCGGGUUGUAAAAAUCUUUUCUAUGGGAAGAAAAUGACAGUACCAUAGGAAUAAGGACCGGCUAAUUACGUGCCAGCAGCCGCGGUAAUACGUAAGGUCCGAGCGUUGUCCGGAAUCAUUGGGCGUAAAGGGUACGUAGGCGGGUAAGCAAGUUAGAAGUGAAAUCCUAUAGCUCAACUAUAGUAAGCUUUUAAAACUGCUCAUCUUGAGGUAUGGAAGGGAAAGUGGAAUUCCUAGUGUAGCGGUGAAAUGCGCAGAUAUUAGGAGGAAUACCGGUGGCGAGGGCGACUUUCUGGCCAUAACCUGACGCUGAGGUACGAAAGCGUGGGUAGCAAACAGG